RNAcentral lists this ribosomal RNA (561 nucleotides) under Xylaria curta. RNAcentral describes it as "eukaryotic LSU rRNA". It matches the Rfam family "Eukaryotic large subunit ribosomal RNA", at positions 56 to 647 of the family's 3401-position model. Lineage: Eukaryota; Fungi; Ascomycota; Sordariomycetes; Xylariales; Xylariaceae. The record is from RNAcentral.
UUGACAACAGGGAUUGCCCUAGUAACGGCGAGUGAAGCGGCAACAGCUCAAAUUUGAAAUCUGGCCCUCGGGUCCGAGUUGUAAUUUGUAGAGGAUGCUUUUGGCGCGGUGCCUUCCGAGUUCCCUGGAACGGGACGCCUUAGAGGGUGAGAGCCCCGUACGGUUGGACACCAAGCCUCUGUAAAGCUCCUUCGACGAGUCGAGUAGCUUGGGAAUGCUGCUCUAAAUGGGAGGUAAAUUUCUUCUAAAGCUAAAUAUUGGCCAGAGACCGAUAGCGCACAAGUAGAGUGAUCGAAAGAUGAAAAGCACUUUGAAAAGAGGGUUAAACAGCACGUGAAAUUGUUGAAAGGGAAGCGUUUGCGACCAGACCUUUUCCUAGCGGAUCAUCCGGUGUUCUCACCGGUGCACUUCGCUAGGUUUAGGCCAGCAUCGGUUUCUGUAGGGGGAUAAAAGCUCUGGGAACGUAGCUCCUCCGGGAGUGUUAUAGCCCUCUGCAUAAUACCCUUACGGGGACCGAGGACCGCGCUUCGGCAAGGAUGCUGGCGUAAUGGUCGUCAACGA